RNAcentral lists this ribosomal RNA (253 nucleotides) under uncultured bacterium. Its description in RNAcentral is "partial 16S ribosomal RNA". It matches the Rfam family "Bacterial small subunit ribosomal RNA", at positions 524 to 776 of the family's 1533-position model. The record is from RNAcentral.
UACGUAGGUGGCAAGCGUUGUCCGGAUUUACUGGGCGUAAAGAGCGCGCAGGCGGUCGAAUAAGUCGAAUGUGAAAGCCCCCGGCUUAACUGGGGAGGGUCAUUCGAUACUGUUCGACUUGAGGGCAGGAGAGGGCAGCAGAAUUCCCGGUGUAGUGGUGAAAUGCGUAGAUAUCGGGAGGAAUACCAGUGGCGAAGGCGGCUGCCUGGCCUGUUCUUGACGCUGAGGCGCGAAAGCUGGGGGAGCAAACAGG